UCCCAGUUAACCCGGGCAGUCUCACUAGAGUGCCCACCCUAACGUGAUGGCAACUAAUGAUAAGGGUUGCGCUCGUUGCGGGACUUAACCCAACACCUCACAGCACGAGCUGACGACAGCCAUGCAGCACCUGUGUAGAGACCCUUGCGGGAGAUGUCAUCUCUGACACUGUCCUCUACAUUUCAAACCUGGGUAAGGUUCUUCGCGUUGCAUCGAAUUAAACCACAUGCUCCACUGCUUGUGCGAGCCCCCGUCAAUUCUUUUGAGUUUCACCCUUGCGAGCGUACUCCCCAGGCGGUGCACUUAACGCGUUAGCUACGACACAGCGGGGGUUGAUUCCCACUCCGUCUAGUGCACAUCGUUUAAGGCAAGGACUAC
RNAcentral lists this unclassified non-coding RNA (378 nucleotides) under uncultured bacterium. RNAcentral describes it as "contains 16S-23S intergenic spacer region". The record is from RNAcentral.